RNAcentral lists this ribosomal RNA (685 nucleotides) under Adoretus versutus. RNAcentral's name for it is "eukaryotic LSU rRNA". It matches the Rfam family "Eukaryotic large subunit ribosomal RNA", at positions 644 to 1286 of the family's 3401-position model. Lineage: Eukaryota; Metazoa; Arthropoda; Insecta; Coleoptera; Scarabaeidae. RNAcentral also lists the same sequence under 1 other name. The record is from RNAcentral.
GGGACCCGUCUUGAAACACGGACCAAGGAGUCUAGCAUGUGCGCGAGUCAUUGGGACUCUAACGAAACCUAAAGGCGUAAUGAAAGUGAAGGUCCGCCUUGCGCGGACCGAGGGAGGAUGGUCGUUCUCUAGGGAACGUCCCGCACUCCCUGGGCGUCUCGUUCUCAUCGCGAGAAGAGGCGCACCAAGAGCGUACACGCUGGGACCCGAAAGAUGGUGAACUAUGCCUGGUCAGGACGAAGUCAGGGGAAACCCUGAUGGAGGUCCGUAGCGAUUCUGACGUGCAAAUCGAUCGUCGGAACUGGGUAUAGGGGCGAAAGACUAAUCGAACCAUCUAGUAGCUGGUUCCCUCCGAAGUUUCCCUCAGGAUAGCUGGCGCUCGCUUCUCGCGAGUCUCAUUCGGUAAAGCGAAUGAUUAGAGGCAUUGGGGUCGAAACGGCCUCAACCUAUUCUCAAACUUUAAAUGGGUGAGAUCUCCGGCUUGCUUGAACUGUGAAGCCGCGAGAUAUCGGAUCAGAGUGCCAAGUGGGCCACUUUUGGUAAGCAGAACUGGCGCUGUGGGAUGAACCAAACGCUGAGUUAAAGCGCCUAAAUCGACGCUUAUGGGAUACCAUGAAAGGCGUUGGUAACUUAAGACAGCAGGACGGUGGCCAUGGAAGUCGGAAUCCGCUAAGGAGUGUGUAAA